Molecule: non-coding RNA, 70 nt
Organism: Dovyalis caffra
Lineage: Eukaryota; Viridiplantae; Streptophyta; Magnoliopsida; Malpighiales; Salicaceae
Source: the annotation of a GenBank genome assembly
GCUCAGCUUAGUUGGUUAGAGCACUUGUUUAGUAAGCGGGAGGUCUUGAAUUCCACUCUCAACUAGAGCA